GGGUGAUCUGCCCUGCACUUCGGGAUAAGCCUGGGAAACUGGGUCUAAUACCGGAUAUGACCUCAGGAUGCAUGUUCUGGGGUGGAAAGCUUUUGCGGUGUGGGAUGGGCCCGCGGCCUAUCAGCUUGUUGGUGGGGUCACGGCCUACCAAGGCGACGACGGGUAGCCGGCCUGAGAGGGUGACCGGCCACACUGGGACUGAGAUACGGCCCAGACUCCUACGGGAGGCAGCAGUGGGGAAUAUUGCACAAUGGGCGCAAGCCUGAUGCAGCGACGCCGCGUGAGGGACGACGGCCUUCGGGUUGUAAACCUCUUUCAGCACAGACGAAGCGCGAGUGACGGUAUGUGCAGAAGAAGGACCGGCCAACUACGUGCCAGCAGCCGCGGUAAUACGUAGGGUCCGAGCGUUGUCCGGAAUUACUGGGCGUAAAGAGCUCGUAGGUGGUUUGUCGCGUUGUCCGUGAAAACUCACAGCUCAACUGUGGGCGUGCGGGCGAUACGGGCAGACUAGAGUACUGCAGGGGAGACUGGAAUUCCUGGU
RNAcentral lists this ribosomal RNA (541 nucleotides) under Mycobacterium sp. AMS4. Its description in RNAcentral is "bacterial SSU rRNA". It matches the Rfam family "Bacterial small subunit ribosomal RNA", at positions 119 to 674 of the family's 1533-position model. The record is from RNAcentral. Lineage: Bacteria; Bacillati; Actinomycetota; Actinomycetes; Mycobacteriales; Mycobacteriaceae.